This is a non-coding RNA of Kogia breviceps (pygmy sperm whale), 174 nucleotides long. The record is from RefSeq and is a predicted model, not a curated record. Lineage: Eukaryota; Metazoa; Chordata; Mammalia; Artiodactyla; Physeteridae.
ACCAUCAACAAGGAGCCAAGACCCUCCACCAAGCAAAAAGAUUACAACUUGCUCCUGGCUCAGACAAUGAUUAGCAUUUUUAACCAGAGUAUUUUUAAUUAAGCCCUGUACAUUGUUUUUAAAGACAUAAUGCUACUGCACACUUAACACACUACAGUACAGUAUAAACAUAAC